UUUAAAGGCAAACUGAAUUAAGGAAGGAGCCAGCACAUGCAGGCAAAGGCAUUCCAGGCCAAGGAAUGUCAACCAGAAACAGAACGACAGAGGGAAAAUUAUGUUUUCUUCCCCUACAAGACUUUGGAGAAGAAAGCCAUGUGACUGUCUGGGGAGAAGCUUCCAGAUCCCAAAGUGGGAGCAUUUCUGGCAUGUUCUAGCCCAGCAAGGGAGCUGGGGUGGCUAGAGUGGAGGGCCGAGGGUCGUGGAGUUGAUAUGAGCUGGGAGAGGUGACCGGGGUUGAUACAGGCAGCCUCAUAGAACAUGUGAAGACCAGCUUUUACUUUUGAGCAGAAGAGCAUUGCAACAGGACUUGCAUUUUCAGGAGCUUUCUCAGGCUGCUGUGUGGGGACCAGACAGCAGGGAUAUGUGCACAGAGCCCAGAGUUUCCUAAAGACUGGAUGUGGGCUGGGAGAGGGGAGACUAGUCAGGAUGCUGUCUCCAUGGGGAUGGAGUUGCCACCAGCCAAGAUAGGGUGGCUAUGGCAGAGGUAAUUUUGGUGGUGAGGGGAGAUCUCAAUCUAGGGCAGGCUGAGGUUGGGAUGUUUAUGAAACAUCAUAGGGAGGAUAACAAGUGAAUUAAUUUCAAUCCACUGGGUAACCAUGUGUGUGUGCAUUUGUAUAUGUGUGUGUUUUAUUUUGGGAAGAUACGCAAACCAUAAAAUUUAUCAUUUUAAUCAUUUUUAAAUAUAUUGUUUGAUGGCAUUAAAUAGAUUCACAUUGUUGUUUUACAACCAUCUUUCAUCAGCAUUAUCCUCAUAACAAUCCAUCUCCAGUAACUUUCAUCUUCCCAAACUGAAACUCUGUACCCAUUAAAAAAUAACUCCACAUUCUCCCUUCCCCCAGCCCCUGGCAACGGCCAUUCUAUUUCUACAAAUUUGCCUAUUCUGUGUACUUCAUAUACAUGGAAUCAUCCAAUAUUUGUUCUUUUGUGUCUGGUUUAUUUCAUUUAGCAUAAUGUCUUCAAGGUUGAUUCAUGUUGUAACAUGUGUCAGAAUUUCACUCCUUUUUUAAGGCAGAGUAAUAUUCUAUUAUAUAGAUAUUCCACAUUUUGUUUAUCCAUUCAUCCACCAAUGAACAUUUGGGGUUUUUUCAGCUUUUGGCUAAUUGUGAAUAAUGCUGCUAUGAACAUUGGUAUACAUCUGUUCGUGACUCUCCUUUUA
Bos taurus (domestic cattle) is the source of this 1201-nucleotide long non-coding RNA. The record is from Ensembl. Lineage: Eukaryota; Metazoa; Chordata; Mammalia; Artiodactyla; Bovidae.